Molecule: ribosomal RNA, 266 nt
Filed under: uncultured archaeon
Lineage: Archaea
Description: partial 16S ribosomal RNA
Rfam family: Archaeal small subunit ribosomal RNA
Source: RNAcentral
AGUCACUGACCAUUAGAUACCCGCGUAGUCCCAGCCGUAAACUAUGCGCGUUAGGUGUACUGGUGACCACGAGUCACCGGGGUGCCGAAGGGAAACCGUGAAACGUGCCGCCUGGGAAGUACGGGUCGCAAGGCUGAAACUUAAAGGAAUUGGCGGGGAGCACCACAACGGGUGGAGCCUGCGGUUUAAUUGGACUCAACGCCGGAAAUCUCACCGGAUAGGACAGACGUAUGAUAGUCGGGCUGAAGACUCUACUUGAUGAUCUG